Long non-coding RNA from Megachile rotundata (alfalfa leafcutting bee), 1526 nucleotides. The record is from RefSeq and is a predicted model, not a curated record. NCBI's taxonomy places the organism in Eukaryota, Metazoa, Arthropoda, Insecta, Hymenoptera, Megachilidae.
AGUUUCUAGUCAGUGCGAUUGAUUUCGAUGGUCCCGCGAUACUUCCUGACGUCAUCGAGGCGUUUGUUUAAUGAGCGGCUACCAGGUCUCUCCCCACGAGUCGUCCCUACUCAAGCAGAAAUCGCGACCAGAGGGAGACAGAGCUAGCCGAGUUCGUGGAGGGGGCGUAGGGAGAGUGAGAAAGAAAGAGAGGAAGGGGAGAGAGGUAGUAUCGUGUCGGACGCUGGACGAGGCGCACGUUCGAUGCGAAGCAGUGUGUGCUUUCACGCACGGAAACCAAGAAACGGUGUGUACCAGGACCACGGUGUUACUCCUGGAUGUGAUCCAUGCCGUCCUGCUGGCGAGCCUCGCCGACAGGACUGGUCACGAGCCUGUGUCCCGGAGCGUCCUCGCGAACACGUCCGAAAAGUAGUCACAGACCGUACGUCGUCGAGCACGCGGCACACGUGAGCGGAACGAAGACGAACCGCUACCGAGCACGGCCGAACGCCAACGAGCUGCGACGAUCGUCUCGACGAGGUAUCCUGGCUCACCGCUGAUUGGCCGAAACUUCGAGGAAGUGGUCACCGUCGAUGAGAGCUCGAACCACACCGCCACGUGAGUUUAGCGCCGUAUCGCGAAUCAGGAUAUCGCGCCUCUUUUCAUCGUAUUCUGGAGCACCGGACCCUCCAGCUUUAGCGCGCCAAGCCUAAUCUGGAUACAUGACACUCCGGCUACGUGUUCGGCGAUCACUUCCGGGAAAUCUGGUUCGGCAGAAAGAUGGACCAUGAAUUUGCAUAUCUUAUGAAAGUCGAACAGAUUUGACCGACGGCGUCAUCUGUGUCGAUUAAAUCUCUGCAAGUAGCUUACGAACUGAGUGACGAGUAACCUCAACGAGCUAAUCGUCAAAUAUUAGAAUAUUCUGUUCGUUUCGCCACUGUUCCCUCGAAACUAGAACGGUAGAAUUUGCUUGACCCUGGAUUGAAGAAGGAGUAUCGAUCUACGUCAUCAUGUCAUCACGUAGCGAUCCUGAUCUAGGCCAACGUCUUUACCCCAUAUGACGUUGCGUCUUUCAGCCGGUGUCUUCUGGACGGUUGUUUCCCUUCUAAAUAUAAAACUAUAGACGUCGAACUUUAACCAUAAAAAUGGCCAAGUUUCGGAGCGAGCAAGAGCUAGGAUCGCGAAAGCCUCGAAUUCGGUUUUCUGCCAAGUUGAACACGAUUGUUCAUUGAACGCUUCGAAUUCGAUGUCGCGAAUCUGUCACGUGACUCUUUAUUAACGACAGAGAAAGUGUCUUUCAGUGUUUUGAUUGCAAGUGAAUAGUGAACGUUUGUCAGGGAAACUAUUUUCCCCUAUCGUUGAUCAUUAGAUCGUGUUGUCUACGGAAGUAGCGUAUCUAUAAUUUUAAAGUGUUGGCAUCACCCCCUUUCUUUAAAUUCGAAACCAAGGGAAUACGGGAGCGGAAGGAGCAUAGAUGAGUUCUGCUAUCUGCGUCCUUGAUGGGAACGUUGUUACGAGAUAUUAAGGCGAUUUUCAAUGUUUAAAUG